GAUGAACGCUAGCUACAGGCUUAACACAUGCAAGUCGAGGGGAAACGAUAGAGAAAGCUUGCUUUUUCUAGGCGUCGACCGGCGCACGGGUGAGUAACGCGUAUCCAACCUGCCCAUCACUUGGGGAUAACCUUGCGAAAGUAAGACUAAUACCCAAUGAUAUCUCUAGAAGACAUCUGAAAGAGAUUAAAGAUUUAUCGGUGAUGGAUGGGGAUGCGUCUGAUUAGCUUGUUGGCGGGGUAACGGCCCACCAAGGCGACGAUCAGUAGGGGUUCUGAGAGGAAGGUCCCCCACAUUGGAACUGAGACACGGUCCAAACUCCUACGGGAGGCAGCAGUGAGGAAUAUUGGUCAAUGGACGAGAGUCUGAACCAGCCAAGUAGCGUGCAGGAAGACGGCCCUAUGGGUUGUAAACUGCUUUAUAAGGGAAUAAAGUGAGUCUCGUGAGACUUUUUGCAUGUACCUUAUGAAUAAGGACCGGCUAAUUCCGUGCCAGCAGCCG
RNAcentral lists this ribosomal RNA (501 nucleotides) under uncultured bacterium. Its description in RNAcentral is "bacterial SSU rRNA". It matches the Rfam family "Bacterial small subunit ribosomal RNA", at positions 28 to 517 of the family's 1533-position model. The record is from RNAcentral.